AGCUGACCUGUGAACGCGUGUUGUUCCAAACCCACACCUGCACUGGGGAGGUGGUUUACUAUACAGCAAAAUCUGAUUGACGCACCUUCCUCAUCUCGGGUGAUGUAUGUGGGGCGUGGCAGGGAAUUCGGUGUGUCCGGAGCAUGGCAGGGCUGCCAGAAGGUGGGAAGAGAGAAGAGUGUGGCUGGGGCCAAGUGCGUUUCUGAUGGCCUGGACUGGCGGAAUGAGAACAGGCCCCUCAGGCCAGGAAAUCAGGCCAGUUCCAGGGAAAGGGCCUCCUGCCAAGGUCCUGGCCAGUCCCACUGACCUGCCUCUAAGCUGCUGGAGUGACUUUGGACUCGUUGCUUCCCUGUCUGUCCUGGGAAGGGGCCCCAGCCCACGGCGUACCUGGUCCCCGCAGUUGCCAGUCUCAGGCAUCUCACCGCCCCUUCACCUGUCCUUAAACUCACUUCUGUCACGCCUUGGAGAGGGACCCUGGCAGCCACCCUCAGGAGGCUGCCCCCAGCCCCAGAGAGCGCUGGGCCUGUCGCCCUGGGCUCCUCCUGGUGUUCUGAGAACAUGGUGGAUCCUGAUCAGGCUGGGAGGGAAGCGACAGUGGUGCCCAGCAAAGCAGUCAUCCCGUCCGUGCCUGCACAUCUCCAGGGCUGGUAUUUGUUUAAUCGGCUUGCUUUUCUCUAAAAGCUUUUUUUAAAAAAUCAAAGUUGGAGGGUUUUUUGUAAUAAACUUUUUAUUUUAAAACAGUGUUAGAUUUACAAAAAUUUUGUGAAAAUAGUUGAGAUGGACUUACUUCUUUAACUUUAUUUUAAAAUGAAAUGUUUCAUUAUUUCCACAAAUGGGAAACCAGCAUGACUUGCCUCAACUAGACCUUAAUCUUAAAAAUGAACAGUGAAAGCAAAACAAUGUUAUUAAAUUUUCAAAACCGAAAUAAAAAAUUAACAGCCUGAUGCAAGCAGUAGUAAAUCUGAUCGAUUUACAAAAAUGCAGUCUGUGCAGUCAGCUGGGGUGUGUGUGUGUGUGUGUGUGUGUGUGUGUGUGUGUGUGUUCGCGCACAGGCGUAAGAAGAGGCAGGCAUAAACCCCUCCACAGUGCAGGGCCAUCACGGGGUGCCAUGUGACUUCCCCAUGGCCCACAUUAAUGACCCUCUGAGAGCUGUCCAAGGAACCCACCACCCAUAGCACAGCCUGCAUUUGCCGAGCACCUGCCUUGUGUGGGCACCAUCUGACAACUGACACAUAGUAACCCAUCACAGCCUCCCAGCAACCCGCUGGGGUGUGUGUGUGGGGGGUAGGUACUGUCAUUCCCUCCAGUGGUAAUGAAGAAACUGAGGCAGUUUAAGUAACUGGUUCAAGGCCACAGCCAGGAGCCACACCAAGGCAGCUGGGAGCCAAAGCCUACACUUUUAACUGCUGUGUUCUGCUAUCAAGAGCAGAAAAACAGAACUGCGUUUUAAAG
Molecule: long non-coding RNA, 1452 nt
Filed under: Microcebus murinus (gray mouse lemur)
Lineage: Eukaryota; Metazoa; Chordata; Mammalia; Primates; Cheirogaleidae
Description: lncRNA (ENSMICG00000048727.1)
Source: RNAcentral